Non-coding RNA from Triticum aestivum (bread wheat), 135 nucleotides. The record is from Rfam. NCBI's taxonomy places the organism in Eukaryota, Viridiplantae, Streptophyta, Magnoliopsida, Poales, Poaceae.
UAAGUACUCCCUCCGUCCCAAAAUUCUUGUCUUAGAUUUGUCUAAAUAUGGAUAUAUCAUGUCACAUUUUAGUAUUAGAUACAUCUGUAUCUAGACAAAUCUAAGACAAGAAUUUUGAGACAGAGGGAGUAUAUA